UAUGUGGCCGACGCGGUGAAAACCAAUUAAGGUGACGAGUCUUGGACCGUGCGUACAGGUACAGGAGAAGACACCAAUUCCUAAUUAGGGACUCGCGUUUUUGUUCAGAUUAUGAAGCCAAGUGGGACACAAGUUUUUGUCUUUUUUUCAAAGCAAUCUCUUGAUGUGAAGCGGGUUUGAGUCUGCAACUGGAUUAGUCU
This 200-nucleotide unclassified non-coding RNA is filed under the name Hevea brasiliensis (rubber tree). The record is from RNAcentral. Lineage: Eukaryota; Viridiplantae; Streptophyta; Magnoliopsida; Malpighiales; Euphorbiaceae.